UACGUAGGCAGCGAGCGUUGUUCGGAGUUACUGGGCGUAAAGGGUGUGUAGGCGGUUAUUUAAGUUUGGUGUGAAAUCUCCCGGCUCAACUGGGAGGGUGCGCCGAAUACUGAGUGACUAGAGUGCGGGAGAGGAAAGUGGAAUUCCUGGUGUAGCGGUGAAAUGCGUAGAUAUCAGGAGGAACACCGGUGGUGUAGACGGCUUUCUGGACCGUAACUGACGCUGAGACACGAAAGCGUGGGUAGCAAACAGG
RNAcentral lists this ribosomal RNA (253 nucleotides) under uncultured bacterium. RNAcentral's name for it is "partial 16S ribosomal RNA". It matches the Rfam family "Bacterial small subunit ribosomal RNA", at positions 524 to 776 of the family's 1533-position model. The record is from RNAcentral.